AUUGAACGCUGGCGGCAGGCCUAACACAUGCAAGUCGAGCGGAUGAGUGGAGCUUGCUCCAUGAUUCAGCGGCGGACGGGUGAGUAAUGCCUAGGAAUCUGCCUGGUAGUGGGGGACAACGUUUCGAAAGGAACGCUAAUACCGCAUACGUCCUACGGGAGAAAGUGGGGGAUCUUCGGACCUCACGCUAUCAGAUGAGCCUAGGUCGGAUUAGCUAGUUGGUGAGGUAAAGGCUCACCAAGGCGACGAUCCGUAACUGGUCUGAGAGGAUGAUCAGUCACACUGGAACUGAGACACGGUCCAGACUCCUACGGGAGGCAGCAGUGGGGAAUAUUGGACAAUGGGCGAAAGCCUGAUCCAGCCAUGCCGCGUGUGUGAAGAAGGUCUUCGGAUUGUAAAGCACUUUAAGUUGGGAGGAAGGGCAGUAAGUUAAUACCUUGCUGUUUUGACGUUACCAACAGAAUAAGCACCGGCUAACUUCGUGC
This 485-nucleotide ribosomal RNA is filed under the name uncultured bacterium. RNAcentral's name for it is "bacterial SSU rRNA". It matches the Rfam family "Bacterial small subunit ribosomal RNA", at positions 30 to 508 of the family's 1533-position model. The record is from RNAcentral.